Molecule: unclassified non-coding RNA, 253 nt
Filed under: uncultured Verrucomicrobiota bacterium
Lineage: Bacteria; Pseudomonadati; Verrucomicrobiota
Description: uncultured Verrucomicrobia bacterium contains 16S-23S intergenic spacer region
Rfam family: Bacterial small subunit ribosomal RNA
Source: RNAcentral
UACAGAGACUGCAAGCGUUAUUCGGAUUCACUGGGCGUAAAGGGUGCGCAGGCGGCCGGGUGUGUCAGGUGUGAAAGCCCGAGGCUUAACCUCGGAAUUGCGCCUGAAACUACUCGGCUAGAGGACCGGAGAGGGUAGCGGAAUUCAUGGUGUAGCAGUGAAAUGCGUAGAUAUCAUGAGGAACACCAGAGGCGAAGGCGGCUACCUGGACGGUACCUGACGCUCAGGCACGAAAGCGUGGGGAGCGAAAGGG